CGGCCCCCGGCGGCCCCGUGGAAACCCAGGCCCUCGUCCCUCGUGUCUCGCCAGGCUUCGUGAGCUUCGACAACCCGGCCAGCGCGCAGACCGCCAUUCAGGCCAUGAACGGCUUCCAGAUCGGCAUGAAGAGGCUCAAGGUGCAGCUGAAGCGGCCCAAAGACGCCAAUCGCCCGUACUGAGCGCCGGCGGGAGCGUCCCCCGGGGGAGACCAGGACUCGCACAGGUAACCGGGGGCUACCGGGGUGUGGGAACGGGAGGUCUGGGAAGCGGGCAUCAGACGGACCCGCCAUCUUCUUGGGCCUUUGUGGGCCUGACCCUCAUUUGUGCCUUGGACCCGAUGCGCCUGCCUCAACCUGCUCCUUGCCUAGUGUCUACAGGACAGGAGCAGAGCUAUGGUCAUCCUGGCAGAAAUGGGCAAGGUCGUCCCCUGUUGUGGGGCCAAGAGGAGCAGGAGUGAGGGAGUCAUCUGGGAAAGUGUACAAGGCCUAUACUGGCAGUUCUUCUUGCCACAGACCCUGGGGUGGGCAGAUGGCAAACACAGAGCUAUAGCCACAGGUUGAGGCCUUCUCCCAGACUUCCUGGCUCUCCUCUCCUCAGUUCUGGGAAGGGCCUGCAGCCUUUAGUCCUUUGACCCCUCAUCUCUCCAGCUGCCUGUAGCUCAGUCAGGACAGAGGAGGCAGGAUUUUUCAAAGGGAACUUUACCAGGAAACAAAACAGAAUGGACCAAAAGCUGGGGAGGGUUGGUAUCACAGCACUGAGGUCCCUUACCCUGUUANGAGAUGUUCUAGGCCAUCAAAAGUCAACCUCAGCCAGUUUCCUUGGUGCUGUUUGCUACUGCAGUCCUCACAGACCAGAAAUGGAGGUCACCUUUGAGUUCUACUGACUCAGGAUGCUUCCCACACUCUGUUCCCCAUCUAGUCAGCAGUAUGGUACUUUAGGAACUGUUAGGGUUGCAGUGGUGACCAAGACUGAGAAGAAGGGGGCUGACAAUAGAUUACCUAGCAUGUCAGAAUUGUUAACUAAAGUUAAAUCAUGUGGUCAAGGUGCCCAGGGCCAGCCUCAUUGCAAGGGUAACAUUAGAACAAAGAUGUAGUCUUUGUGUGCAGACAUCCUCUUUCUGAGAACACAGCCAGUAUGUAAGUCCCAAGGUGAGGUCAGGGGCAGUGUGGCCAAGGAGCAGCAGGGGGCCAAGGUAGGCAGAAGGAAUUUAGGAGAUUGGGCCAAGAAAAUGGCAAGAGAGUCGUGGGUUAAGAAAGAAUGUCCACUUGGGGCCUGCACGCCAUUAUAUGAACUUUGAUCUCCUCUGAGAUGGGAGGGGGCAUUGGAGAGUUCUGGUAGAAGAACUUGCAUUUUGGCAGAUCACUUCAGCUGCAGUUGAUAUCAGGUUGUAGGAGCUGAAGCAUUGUCUUGUGUUAAGAUGGGAGUUCCUCUGGAGAUCUUACUAGGAAACUAACGCAGGAAGAGUAAACAAUAACGUCAAUGUGACAGGUUCACAGCCAACAGUCAGAACACUCCCACCAAGGUUCUGCCCAGCUCAAAGACUGUCCCCUGAAUCCCUUCCUGCCACUAGGUUAGCUAGUACAUACUGAACCUUAAUAGCAGGACGGUUCUCAGAAUCCUCGUCCUGAGGUUUUGUGGGUUGGAGAAGGUAUCAAGCUGUGUGUCUGACUCCAUGGGAGUCCUGUCUCCCGGGCCCUGGGCUUUGACUGCAAGUGUGCUUUUGCACAGUAUCUGGAGUGAGCUUUGCAGGUACAGGUGCCCCUCUCUGACCUGUGCAUUGCAAAGCUGUAGCUUUGGGCCUGGGCCCUCUCUGGCUAGAACCCAGAUGUUUUAAGACCUGACAUCUGAAUUGGUUGGGCCAGGCCAUCAUUUCCUCAGCCAGAUCAAUGAGUUGGAACUUCCUAGACCUGAUCUAAGCUUCCCCAUGCUGGUUAGUGAUCCCGUUGCCACCUCCAGGGCUGUGUUCUAUAGGACACCCCAGAGAGUGGCUGGGAAUGGUUGCCCCUACAGGCAGAGGAAGCAGGUAGCCAGCUGUGUACAUGCUGGGGAGGCUCCUGGGGGCUGAAUGCUGUACUGAGUGUAUGUGAGAGAUGAGGAUGUGUUCAAGAGAGUUCCCUACACUGGGUUUUGAGACUUCAGUUCCAGUGCUCAGCAUGGUGCCUGGCACUGAGAGGCAACUGGGGGAGGGAAAAGGAACAAGCACAGGGAAGGCGUGAAUGCUUGUGAGGUACCCAGGACUGGUGUGGAGGGCAAGGAGGAGAGUCCUCAGAUUGUCCCUUAGGUGCAGUUGCCAGAGCUAACACCUGAUGGCAAUACAUUUCUAAGUUCCAUAGGCCUCUUUUCUCAUACCAAAGGAAACUGCCAACAUACUGGGUGGAUCUAAGAGCUUUUGGGAGGGGUUGGAGGUGCAGAGGAGAGGGACAUUUCAGGACUUGGUGGGCAUGUGAUAGGCCUUUGUCUGGGUGAGGGAGAUCUGAUAUUGGAAGGAUAGAGCUCAGCUUGGGUGGGCAGACAGGACAGGGAGUCUAUGGAGGGAGGGAGAUUGGAGAGUGCUUCUGUGAUGGCUGAGCUGGAGGCAGUGACUCAAAGUAGAGUCACUGCUCAGCUACUGCACAGCUUAUCUAUUAUGACAUUGUAAGAUCCCAGGGGUCCCUUCCCACUCACCCUAAUGGAACAAAAAACUGAAAGUGGAAGUCUGCUGCAUGGAGAGGCCUGGUAGAUUGGAAACCCUGGUAAUAAAUUCAAGGCACGUAGGCUUUGGCACAGGCCUGAGUGCAUAGAAGAGCACAGGAUGAGGAACAAGCUCAUGAGUAACCAUGAGGUUGGAAUUGGGGACCCCAAAUCCUAGGGUGGGGGCAGAGGAUCAUGAGAUGGUGAAUGAGGGAGAUGGCAACUCAAAGCUGAGUAACCUGAUUUGUCUGAUAGAGAGAGGAUCUCAUUUCUCAACCAUUAGGGCUCCAUCAGGAGAGAAAAUGGUCAGACCUGGCCAGCUAGAGAGAGGGGGUGGGCUGGAAAGGGGAAGAGGAGUAGGGUGGAUGGGGCUCAGCAGAGCCAAAGUGAGAGCAGCAAGGGCUGGAGAUGCAGGGUCACUGUGCCACCCUCUCUGGUGUGCCACUCUGUGGUGUACCUGAAGCCUCCUUUGUGACCCUUUUAUGGGUCAGAGCUACAGAACCUUUGAAGGACUUCACACGCCCUGAAGCAGCCUCAGUUAGGCCACCUUGGGAACAAAUCAAAGGGUAUGAGGUAACCAUGAAAUGAAAUUGUAGGGCCCCCCUAGGCCUGUUGAUAGAAUUCCAAGAACAUAAGUGUAAUUUAGGAAAUUUCAGAAUGAAGUAUUGUCAUUUUCCGAAGGUUCUGAGGAAAAAAGGUGUUAUCAAAGUGGAGGGGAGGGGAUCAAAACUCCCUUGUGCGUGCUCAUGCCGCCUAAAGACCCCUUUCCUAGGGUGGGGGCUGGGAUCCACAGGCUGGAGGGCUGAGCUGCCGCUCGUAGUAUACCAUACUAUGGUGGCCAAAUGUCUCCUGUGGCACUUGCCUUAACCAUCCCUGCCAAUCAGGGUCAACCGCACUGGCUCCCACUGCUGAUCCUCAGGCUGGAGCCACAGAAAGCCAGGGAGCCAAGGAGAGCUCAGCAUCUGGGGGAGAAAAAUCAAGGGUGUUAAAAGCAGAGAGCUUGCUCCCUGAAAUCUGCUUGCUGGCCACGGUGGUUUGAGGGGCUGUUUUAUUUUUUCCUGGCCCUCUUGCCAAACUGCCUGUGCCUCUUCCUUUUCCCUACGCAUGAUGGAUGCCCUUAGUGGCCCUGUGUGAGGUUCUGCUGCUGUUCACAGUGUAUCAUGUGUCUGCAUAAACAGCCGUGUGCGUGUAUGUGUGUGUGCGUUGCUGUGCCCAUGUCGUCCGUCUGCGGGCUCCUCCAUCCUUUGAGUUCUUUUCAGUUCCCUUAUGAUUUGACUGCUGUUCUCCCAUCAGAGCUUUUAGAUUGAUGCUGUGGUCUGGUGCUGUUUAAAUAUUUUUCCUUUCGAUUUUGUUUUAACUUCUUCCUUGCCCUUCUUCACCCUCAACCCAACUCUCCCUACCCCCCACACUCCCGACCCCACCCCACCUGCCCCUCCUCUUCCCUCCCUGCCCACACUCUCCUGUCCUCUCUCUCUCUCUCUCUACAUAUAUAAAUAUAUAUAUAUAUAUAUAAAAAUCUUUUCUUCUUUUGUCAUUCAAUCAAAUUCCAACAACCCAACCAGGGCCAGUCAAAUCCACCACAGUCUCGCGCUGAGCUAGGAAUAAAGUUCACGUAAUCACAUGAGAGUGGAGAAAAGUCCCCCAUCCGUAAGUUCAAAUCAACUCAAAGUUCACAGUGUGACAUGAUGGCGUCAUGUAACAAGGCUAAGAAUCGGUUGCAUGACAAUUGCCGUCAAGUUUCGUGGAGGUGCUGUGAUUGGAGCGUUUUUCUUGGAUGUCGUAUCCGUGGAUGAUUGGCCAGUCAUGAUCACACGUGCAUUUUCUUGACUUUUGUGCUGCCACGAUCUUUUUUGCUGUGCUCAUUUUCGUUUCGUUCUUGGUGCUUGCAGUGGUUUUACUUUCUGUUGUUUGGUUUUUCUUGUUCAGCGUUUUUUUAUGCUUCUCUAGAUGUCACAUAGAGAAAAAAAAAAAAAUUUAGUAAAAAUAAAGAUGAAUUCCUGAAUUAUCAAACAUGGGAUCAUUUAACUAUGCAAACCAUUAUUUUUUUUUCUUAAAAAUAAGGAAAACAUCUUAAAAAUAUCUAUGCGUGGUUGAUUUACUUGCACUUGAAAAUAUUGUGAUUUUAUUUUUUUCUAGAAAUUUGGGGGCCUUUUUCAAUUGACACUUUCCUAGGUCUGGUCUUUUUCCAGUUAGGCUAUUUUAAAUCUCACCUCAAAAGGAAAAACCAAAACCCAAACCAAAAUAUGUAAUAUCUAUAGUAACAAAAUGAUUUUAAGAAAAUUCUAAACCAAAAAAAAAAAAAAACCAAAAAAACAAAAACUAGAGUACAAAGCCAGAGGCCUCUGAGAGAGAGCCCAGUAACAAUUAUAAGGUUUGUAUUAUAGCUACUCCUGCUAAAUUCAAUGUGGGGAGGGGAGCGGGGGACUGGGGGCUUGGGAGGGCUUUUUUGGUUGGUUUGGAAGAAACAGUACUGACAAAAGCAAAAUGCACCUUUUUGUUUACAACUGAAAAAGGGUCCUUGACAAGUGUUUUUUAAUUUUAUUAUUAUUUUAUUUGGUGUUGUAAUUGUUUAGACUGCUGUGUACGGUUUGCUGUUUGUUGAAUCAACAGUGUGAAAAACCUGCCAGCAUGGAUUGAUAUACGCAUGACGUUGUCCCCUGGACUGGGGGCUUUGCAGUUCUAACUUUCUUGAUGUAACCAGUCACCCCCAUGUAUAAGUGGAAGCUGCUUGCUAGAAUGGAGAUGAGUCUCAUUUGUUAAUUCACAACGAUAAGCAUUUGCCUUCUGAUUCUAGUCAGAUCAUGAUUUUUUUUUCUUAAAAGCAAAACACCAAAAAGCCACCAUUUGAAACAAAAUCAAGAACUGUCUGAGUUAAUUUACUUAAGUUUUAUAAUGAAAUCUGUUCUGACCUUUUUUUAGGUUCUCCCAUCCAUUCCCUGGAAGUUCUGAAUUUCCUCUAAAUUCCCUGGCAUGUAUGAGAAAAGUAUUAUGUAUGUGUGUAUAUGUGCAUAUACAUACACACAUAUCCAUGUAUGUCCACAUAUGUGCAGGUGAAUAUAUUCUACACAUAUAUCCAGAUAUACAUAUAUAUAUACACGCAGCCUCGCAAAUAGUUACUGAUCUGGGGAAAGAAGUGGUUGGCUGGAAACUGGGCAAGGAUUUUACAAAAUUCGAGUCUUGGCUCUGUCUUCCUUCUUUUCCUUAAGCUGGGGAGGAGUUGGCUAGGUUGUUCAAUUCUUGCUUUCUGGUUUGCUAGGCUUCUGUAUACAUAUUGUAUCUGGGCUGGAUCCCUCAGGGACAAGUUUAAUUAUGAAUUCACAUCCCACUGUCCCAAAUUCUUCCCUUAGAUAUAGCCAUCCCUCAAUCCAGAACUCUAAAGGAACCCAAAUCAAGAACUCUCUCCCCACAUCUAAACCUCAGCUACAACCAUCGCCACUAGACCGCCAAGUGGUUUCUUACUCUGAAUAGAAGAGCAAAUUUCUUUUGACUGUAUCAUGAUCAUGACUAAUUCUCAUACUGGUCUCUCUUCCUUCCCUCCUGCCAUCCCCCAGAGUUCCCAUCCUACCCCAAGGCAGGUUCCUAUUGGUGUUUGGAUGCAUUUUGUGUUUUCCCUCAUGGCUUAAUCAGCCCCGAUUUUCUUCAUUUUAGGGCAGGAUGCUGAACGGGCUACAUUAAAAAACAAACCUCUCUCUCUCUCUAUUUAUAAAUGAGAACUGUUGGAUGACACCUUUGACAUAUCAGCCAAUAUCAAUCAAGCUGAAGACUCCAGACACUCUGAGACUGUAACAUUUCUUCAAGGAAAGUAUAACGUCUAUGGAGUUCAGAGGGAACGUGUUUGGGGGAAAAAUAUACAUGACAUAAAGAAGACGACAAUGAAGAAAAAUGAGGAAAAACAUAUACACAUUAAAAAAAAAAGGCAACUUUAAAACAAAAUAACAUGAGACCAGACGGGGAGGCUGAAGGGCUGGGCACUGGGAGAAGACGCUGCUGCUUACCGAUCCUGGGGCUUUUCCAGCCCAUGGGCGCCUGAGGCAGGCGGGGGCAAGCGUGUGGCGGUGGGGGCCUGGUCCCCAGGGGGCGUCUGGGAGGCUGCCACUGAGCAUCUCUAUCUGUCAUUCCUUUAGCUGUUUAGGGACCAAAGGACCAAACUUUUUAUUGCAGAUGUGUAGCUCUAUGUCAAAUAGAGGAGGAAUGGAGGACUACCUCCUUCCUGCCUCCUGGCUGUUCUUGAAACAGCUUAGAGCGAUUCUAUGAAAAACAUAAUAAAAAAUUCAAAAAAAAAAUACAAAAAAUACAAAAAAUGAAAAAAAAUGCUUCAAUGCUUUUAAAACAGCAAGAUAAUAGUUCUUUGAUACUUUGAGAGGCGCUUUGAUUACCCUCAUUGAAGUCUAUGAAACUUUCCUAUGGUUUUCUGUAUUAUAUGUCUGGAUGGAGCUGUUAAGAUGCACAGAUUGGUGGAUAUUUGGGGAAAGCAACAAAAGUAUGAAAACUUAUUAACCCUGAAGUGUGAGGAAAACAAGGAGGGGAACAAAGGAUCUUCCAAGACAAGGUAAUUGUUGUGAAAAGUCUGUAAAUGCUUCUAACUCUUCCCCCUCUUAAAAAUCAUAAUAGUUGUACAGAAUUUUAAAAAGGAAAAGUUUAAAAUACCUAUAUAAUAGAAGAAAAAAAAUUAGAGGAAAGCAAAAAAUAAAAAAAAUUAAAAAAGGAAAAAAAAAAAACUAUAGAAGUUAGCGUUACUGCUAAAAUCCCAGAUGUUGUAGGACUGUACUUUUUGUAGAGUUUAGACUGAGCAUCAAUCCCUUCUCCCCGCGAGUGCUGUCGGACGCCGUUGUCCCCGAGGGCCAGGCCGGACUCUCCCAGACCUGCGGGCUCCCGGCCGCCCGUCGCGGUGGAGGCCGUGCACCCAGCCGGGAAGGGCCCCUCGCCCGCCGCCGCCGCCGCCGCCGCCGCCGCCGCCGCCGCCGCCGCCCGCGCCUCUCGCUUCGCUCUGGGAGCUGCGCGCUCGCUCUCCGCAAGCCCUGGACACCUCCCGCUUCACUCGCCUUCCCUGCUUGAUCCAGAGACUUUCCGGGCAAGGGAGAACUGGGAACUUUCAUCUUAAAACAACUAGGCAACACACACACACACACAAAAACCUUAAAAAAGAGAGAGAAAAAUAAACAAUCUUUGAAGAAUUUCUGAAACUGUUUACAAGGAAUUUUGAAAAACAGGGAUGUUUAAAUGAUGCCGGCUCUGUUUUUCUGUAAAUAAAUUUGCAUAUUUUGUAGGACUUUUAAUUGUAAUGAUAGAGAAAAAACAAGGAAAACUAUUUAAUGAAAGCACGAUAUUUAUCUUUGGUAAAUGACUUUAGAGCAGUUAAAGACAUUGCUUAAAAACUCAGAAUCAGAAAAUACACUGAAUUAUUUAAGAACACAUAUAUUUUAAAGUAUAUCAUAUUUAUUAUAAUUUAUUUGCACCUUUGGGAAGACUUGCGUUGGCAUUCUGCCUCCAUAAUUCCUUACUGAUGGCCAGUUCAUCCGGAGACCAGGGGGGCACUGGGACCUAUCACUUUUUUUUUUUUUUUUUCCUUUAGAAGAACAAAUUUCUGGUUCCUGUCAGGCCUCUUGUCUUUCCUUUCCUUUCUAUUUUGUUUGUUAUUUUUUUUCAUGUUUUUAAUUUUCUUUUUCUUUCUCUUGACUCCUCCUUUUAGGAUGUCCAGAUGUUGUAAAAAACAAAACAAAACAAAACAAAACAGCUGCAGUUCGGUACAACUGCUCUUUUCACACUCAACUCCCUAAAACUCCUUGUAACCUUCUGUAACUAUUGGAUGACGCUUUCUCCAGCUUAGCCCUAAAUAAAGCACAGUUUAAAAAAAA
RNAcentral lists this long non-coding RNA (8528 nucleotides) under Marmota monax (woodchuck). The record is from RNAcentral. Lineage: Eukaryota; Metazoa; Chordata; Mammalia; Rodentia; Sciuridae.